UACAGAGGGUGCGAGCGUUAAUCGGAAUUACUGGGCGUAAAGCGUGCGUAGACGGUUAUGUAAGUCGGAUGUGAAAGCCCCGGGCUCAACCUGGGAAUUGCAUUCGAAACUGCAUGGCUAGGGUGCGGAAGAGGGAAGCGGAAUUUCUGGUGUAGCGGUGAAAUGCGUAGAUAUCAGAAGGAACAUCAGUGGCGAAAGCGGCUUCCUGGUCCAGCACCGACGUUCAGGCACGAAAGCGUGGGGAGCAAACAGG
Molecule: ribosomal RNA, 253 nt
Filed under: uncultured bacterium
Lineage: Bacteria
Description: partial 16S ribosomal RNA
Rfam family: Bacterial small subunit ribosomal RNA
Source: RNAcentral